GCCUACAGGCAUUUAGUUAACUUGAAACGAUACAGAGAAGAUUAUCAUGGCCCCAGGACUAGGAAGACGCUCUCAGCCAAAGAGAAGCUGCCGAUAUUG
RNAcentral lists this small nuclear RNA (99 nucleotides) under Blumeria hordei DH14. RNAcentral also lists the same sequence under 1 other name. Lineage: Eukaryota; Fungi; Ascomycota; Leotiomycetes; Helotiales; Erysiphaceae. The record is from RNAcentral.